GUGUCAGCAGCCGCGGUAAGACGAACCGUGCGAACGUUGUUCGGAAUCACUGGGCUUAAAGGGCGCGUAGGCGGGUCGGCAGGUCAGGGGUGAAAUCCCGCAGCUCAACUGCGGCAGUGCCUUUGAUACCGCCGAUCUCGAGGGAGGCAGGGGAGCGCGGAACUUCCGGUGGAGCGGUGAAAUGCGUAGAUAUCGGAAGGAACACCGGUGGCGAAAGCGGCGCUCUGGCCCUCUUCUGACGCUGAGGCGCGAAAGCCAGGGGAGCAAACGGGAUUAGAUACCCCGGUAGUCC
Molecule: ribosomal RNA, 292 nt
Filed under: uncultured bacterium
Lineage: Bacteria
Description: partial 16S ribosomal RNA
Rfam family: Bacterial small subunit ribosomal RNA
Source: RNAcentral